GCUUUUCUUAUUUGUCAAAAAUUUUGGGAAGACUCAAUUUCUUGUUAAUUUUCAGGUGUCAAAAUCAAUUGAACUACCAUUAGGACUCUAGGCUGGGGUAGAAUUAUUUUUAUUCUAAUGAUAGAUCAAAUUUGGAAUUUGGGAUAUCCAAUCAUCCGCACUUGAAAACUACUUCUCCUUAAAUUGAUACCACUUGAAUUUCUUAACCUGACCAGUGUUUGUCAAUAUUUUACUAUCAAAGAUAGAGGAAGCCACAUAAAUUAGGGAAAAUCUUGGGAGGUGCCACAGAACUGUGUCAUCGUCCCACAACAUCAGAAUUAUAUUCUGUGAUUUUCACAAUUAAUUAUCCUUAAUAAAUUUGUUAUCAGUCUCCAAGAACAAAGAAUUUCCUUGUUUGAAAAAAUAAUUCCAGUGUAUGGUGCAGGUAAGAAAAUUGAGUUCUAUACAAGGUACUUAGAUUGUGCAGUAGUUAUGGCCAUGGGGUUUGGUUACUGGAAAUGAUAAAACCUACAAAAAUGUCGAGGGUUCAAAUCCCUUCUUAUACAGGGAAUGGGAAGGGAUUUGUUAUAUAUGUAUGUAAUAUUUUAAAAAAUCAAAGUUUAAAAUUAACUAGUAGUGAUAGCUUAUUUUGCAAACCAAAAGACGGGAAAUCCAGUGAAAUUUAGAACCUUAACUAAUUUUUUUUUUUUCCCCCUCCCAAAUGAUUCCGUUUUCUGUUGCAGGUAAGCCAAAUUCUGUACGAGGUACUGAGGUUAUAUUCACCAGCACCUCUGCUUACUCGAGCUAAUGUUAAGGAGAUUAAGCUAGGAGAAAUUGUUAUACCACCUGGAGUUUUACUUUCAUUGCAAAUAAUGCUUGUUCAUCAUGAUCAUGAAUACUGGGGCGAUGAUGCAAAAAAGUUCAACCCAGAUAGGUUUUCAGAAGGAGUCUCAAACGCAUCGAAGAAUCAAAUUUCAUUCUUCUCAUUUGGUUGGGGUCCUCGAAUCUGCCUUGGACAAAACUUUGCUCUGUUGGAAUCGAAAUUAGCUUUAGCAAUGAUUUUGCAGAAGUUCACUUUCCAGCUUUCACCAACUUAUAUGCAUGCUCCUACUCGUGGGGUAACUGUAUAUCCACAGCAUGGUGCUAAUAUCAUUUUACACAAAAUUUAGUAUGCAUUACUAUCGCAAGUAUUCAGAAUUCAUGCCAUAUAAUAUAUGUAGAGCAAGAACUUUAUUAUUUUGAUUUACCGUUUUAAAUUUUCUCAGUACUCUUCUUUCCAAUAAAUUUAGAGAUGCAAUUUGUUUUUUUUCUAUUUAGUGUACAAAGCUGAUUAGGCCUCUUGUGGUGAAAGCAAAAAAAUAAAAACAAAUUAACUUUUCGUGUUUAAAAAAAUUAAAUUAAAUUUUUAAAAAAUAAAAAUUAUUUUUAAACUGUGAGUCAAGCAAUUUUUUUUUUUUUUUUGCAAGCUCAAGCCUAGUCCAAUCUAGAGUGGGUGAAAAACAGGGCUCAAAUCUUGUCUCUAUACAUUGGACCUAAAUGAAAUCCUAACGGUCCAAUCUGGACGAAGUUCAUGCUGAGGAAAAUAGAAAUAAAUAUGACAGAUCAAUGGUUUUGAAGUGUUUAUAACACUUUUUUUAAAGGUUUUUUUUGGGUGUUUGUAGAUCGGAUUUUACAGAUUACAUAUCAAUUUAUAUCCAAUUAAUAAUUUUACGGAUUUUAAAUUGUCAAUCUAAUCAAAUCCACAAAUUGGUGAAAUUCAAUUUAAGUCCAAUUCAUGUGUCUACAAAUCAAAUGCGGAUUUGAUCCAAUACUUAUCUAAUCCACCAUUUUGCAAAUUAGUUUAAAAUUUUGUAAUUAUGUCAAAUCCACAAACUAAUUAAAUAAAAAAUUUUAAUAUAAAAAUAAUUUUACUACCGAUCAAAUUCAAAAUUGAAUAAGAUUUAAAUAAAUUAAUUGUUUAAAUAAAGUUAGAAUAAUGCAUUUAGAGUUUCAAAAUAUACCACAUCGAAAAAAAAAUCUCAUUUAUUUAGAUUAAUACAUAAAAAUUAACUGAAAUUAUGAAAAUUAAAUAUUUUUAAAUAAAAUUAAAUUAAAAGACUUGUAAUCAGCCAAUUUGUCAAAAUAAUAAUAGAUGACAAACAAGUUAGACAAAUUUGUCUAUACAAAGGAUUGUGGAUGGGAGAAUUAUUUGAAAAGUCAGACAAUCCCUUUAUAUGCAAAUUGAUGUGAUCAAGUUACAUAUAUAAAUUCUAACAAAGUGUUUGUGGUUCUAUCAUUACUCAUUUAGAAAUUGUGUUCAAUUCUAGCCGAUCAUUUUAUAAAUUGUUGAAAAGCAUAAAUAUGGAAAAGUCUAGUCACAGGAGUUAAAAUUUUAUCUAGAUAAAAUAGUAAUAACAAAAUAUGUUGGUUAAAAUUAGUGAAAAUAAAACAUUCAACUACUAUUUUUUUUUAUUUUGUCAAUGCCUUAGGAAAUAAAUUACUUGGUCAUAAAAAAUACAAAGUUGUCUAAGACAAAACUUUUAGUUACUAUUUUUAGUUUUGUCACCAUAAUGACUCAUCUACGACUAAAAAAUGAGAUCUUAAAAUUAUAAUAAAUCAAAAUAACUUUAGAGACUAAUAUUAUGUGUUAUUGAUGGUUUCCCUAAAUUUACACCUGUGUUUUAGUUACAAAAUAUUUUUGUCACCUAUAAUUAUAUUUCUCGACCAUUUAUUUUGUCAUGAAUGACUUUUUCUUAAUUGGAUACAUGUAGUAUCUCUUGGAAUAAUCAUCAAUGAAAGUUACCAAGUAUUUUUCACCUCUCAGGAAUAUAUAUGGCAAUUCCUAAAUAUCAUAAUGAAUUAAAUUAAAAAUGCUUCUACUUCUGCCGCUAGAUCUGUUAAACUUGAAUCUAUGUUGCUUGUAAUACAAUGGUCACAAAACGAUGAGUUUUCCUAUUUAAACCUCGGAAGCAACUUUUGCUCAGAGAUAAUCUUUAAACCUUAUUUCGACAUGUGGCUAAGUUUGAGAUGCCACAUUAUUGUCAAUUCUUCUUCAUUUGACGUGACACAUCAUCUUCUUGUAGUGUUUCCCCUUUAAGCAUGAAUAAAAUUAACACCGAUCUUUUCCACCUUCAUCAAUACAAAUACGCCUUUAACAUCCCAUUUUUCAUAUGAGCUUUGCGUCCAAGACACUCUAUUCGUCCUAAAGACAAUAAAUUCUUUUUCAUGCCUUUGACAUGUCAAUCUCCUUAAUUGUGGGAACUGUACCAUCAAACAUUUUUCUUUUGAUAGCACUAAUACCAGAGAUUUCCAAGUCACCCAUGUACACAUAUUCUCUUUAAAAGGUCCAUAUUUGUGGAACCAUUCUUUUUAAAAGGCCAUGUGCCAUGUUGCUCCCAAGUCUAUAAGCCAAAUGUCAACCAAAUGCUUCCUGUUUUCCGCAAGAAUUGCUGUCUCGCUGUAGAGAAUUUUUCCAUCAUCAAAAGUACUUACCGUACAAUCAUGAGCAUUUGAUGACUCAACUUCAUUGUCUCUACUUUGCUUAUUUUUCCAACACUCUUUCUUGAUGUGCCCUUUCUUGCCGUAAUUGUAGCAUUUAACAUUCUUGUUACUUCUUGAUUUUGAUCUACUAUGAUUGCGACCUCUACUGGGGCCACGUUCUGUUGAUCUAUUUCUAGUCAUCGAUAAUGCUUUUGCUUGCUGCGAACUUGCCUGCCUACCUUCCUUGUUUUUUUUGUUUGCUUUCUUCAUUUAAUAUAGAGGUUGCAACAUUGCCAAAGACUAGACUGUCUAUUUGGUUAUUGUUUAUUAGAUUAAUGAUGAGUUGAUUGUAUGAAUUUGAAGAGUGUAAAGAUUCCUUUUUAAGAAAAUCUUGUUUUGGAAAGACUUGUCCUCGUACAAUUUUGUAAGAGUAUCUCAUAUUUUCUUUGCUAUCUUUUUCUCUCCUCACUAGAUAACACUUCAUUAGCCAGUGCUAAAUGUAGAUCCGUAGUUGCAUUAUUGUCUACCUCGUUCCACUUGGCAUCAUCAGUUAUCUCCAUGGACUUUUCUCUUAUUGUUACCAUGCAAUUUUUUUUUCCUCAAAAUAGCCUUCACUUUUAUUUUCUACAAUGACGAAUUAUUUCCGUUGAACUUCUCAAUUUCGUAUUUGCCAUCAGUGCUUUUUCACCACGAACUACCUUUGCUAAGAUUGGCUCCCAUCAUUUCACGUGAAUACUAACCAUAUAUGUGAACAAUACUAUAUACGUGAAUAGUACUGUGACAACCAACUUGGCUCUAAUACCACUAUUAAGAAAUUAAUGGUGAAGUAGGGCCACAACUAAAAUGAAAUUGGAGAAAAAUAAAGAAUAAGCAUACAAAGAGGACACUAGAAAUUACAUGAUUAAGCUUUUAACCUAUAUCUAUAGGCAAAGACAGAAGGAUAAAACUUGACUAGUGCAAAGAAGAUUAUAAGUAUUGUAAGAUUUUACCCUUACUUUCUAGAACCCAAUACACCCAAUCGUUUAAUCACUAAACUCUCAAGAGUUUACUAUUUGAGCUCUCAAAACUCUCAGCUUCUCGCUCUUGAUAGAAGAAGCGAUUUGAAGAAAAAAAAUGGAAUUUUUUUUUGAUGAAAUGGGCAUUAAUUUACAAUUUAUGGGGAACUCCCCUUUUAUAGCCAAAAUCAUCUAUUAUUUUAAUUUCUUCUUUUUUUUUUGUCCUUCUCGUGGCUUCUUCAAUGUCGAAGCCAUAAACUGCCAUUUUCCUUCAAACUUUUUGGCGCCGAUCACUAUUUGUCAAAUUCAACAUUUGCGGCUUCUUCAUUUGCGGCACCGGCUUCUACAUUUGAUUGCCAAGCCAACAAGUCACAGACAGAAGAAGAAGCACUCGGUUACUAUCGAUGGUUGUUAAGUAGUCAAACAUCUAAGAUGAAAAAAACAUUUAGGCAAUCUACGGUCUCAUUUUUUCCUUUCCCAAAAAAAUCCCUGCACGAUCCCCUCUUCAAUUUCCAAUUUUAUUAUUCCCUUUUCAUUUUUAAUAUUUUUCCCUUUGCAAAUCCUCUUUAAAAUCGUUUGAUCAAGUAGCCUAUCACUCUUAAAAAUAACCAGUUCAAGUGGUUGACUACUUGUUACUACUUUUUGAUAAGUUUCAUGACAUGGAUUCAAAUUAAAACACAUUUGAUGCUCUCAGAUUCUCUACACUGUAAGUUACGUAAACAUAACUGAGGAAUUGCCUAAUAUAAAUUAUUAAAAAUAUAUUUUAUUAAAAAUAUCAUGUCUUUCCACACGUUUUAGAAGUUUUUGGGAUUGAUGCCAACUUAGAGUUAUCCAAGUCUUUUCUUUUUAAAUAAAUAAAUAAAUCAUUCUACAUUUUGGUUCAUACAGAGCACGAAUAUAGCCACAAUCAAAUUCGACAGUUAUGUUUCUCAUUUUGUAGAAAACUCUAUUGUAUAAAAUUCACUACUACAAAAUUAGUCUUUAAUGACGGUUUUAAAAGACAUAAGAUGACGGUUUUAGGCAGCGACAUUAAAAAGGGUACACCGUUUAUGACAGUUCAAAAACCGUCAUUAAAUGUAUACAUAUAAUGACGAUUAUUUUAUUAAAUAGUCAUUAUUUGAGAUAUAUUCUAGAGUUUUAAUGACGGUUUUUUCUUAAAAAUCGUCAUAAAAAAUACCAUUCAAUGAAGGUUCUUUAAAGAACGAUCAUCGAUAGCACUUUAGCAUAUAUUUUUAAUGACAGUUUUCUUCAAAACCGUCAUUAAAUGUCAAUUUUUAAUGACGGUUUUAUAUAAAACUGUCAUCUUGUAUAGGUCUUUGAUGACUGUUCUUAUAUAAGAACCGUCAUCUUUUGCAUGAGUAAAAAGAAAAAAAAUAGUAAUUUAAAAUUACCAUGCUUUAACUAUUUUUUUAGAUUAAAAUUUAUAUAGUUGUUUUCACAUUCUAAACCGUACAAUUGAAGCUGCAUUUGCAAAAUUUUAAUUUAUAUUACACAUUGAUAUAAUUAUCAUUUACAUACAAAGAACUCAAAUACAUACAAGCUUCAUUAUAACAGUUUAACGCCUAAAUAACCUUGAUCAAAGUAACUCCUAAUAAUGAAAAAAUAUGCUACACGAAUUCUCAAAUUAAAAUCUUGUCAAAGUCAUGGUUGGCACCACCCUUCUAGAUGGGCGGUGCCAAACCAUCAACAUUUUCAACAGGCUCGCCAUUUUUGGUGGUGCUGAAAUGCUUGAAGAAGAAAAAGGAGAAAAAAGAACAAAAGAAAAAAGAAGAAAGAAGAAGCUGAAAAAUUUGAAAGGAAAAAUAAUAAAAUAUUAAUAGUAUUAUUUUAUUAAAAAAAGGAAGGGAAAUGAAGCCUAUAAAUAGAAGGCUUCAAUUUCCCUCUCGGCAUCCCAUUCUUCAGUUUUUAAUCUUUUGUCAGAGAGGAAAAAUUAAGAGUCUUAAUACUCUUGUGUAAUUAGUGAGUGAGAGAUUUGGUGUAUUGAGGUUUUGGGAAGUGAGCCAAAAUAUUACAAUACUUGUAAUCUUCAUAUCACUAGUGAAAUAUUUUCCUUCUAUAUUCGCCCGUGGACGUAGGCUAAAAGCCGAACCACAUAAUUUUUUGGUGUCCUCUUUUGUGCUUGUUCUUUAUUUUCUUCCAAUUUCAUUUUAGCUGUGGUCUUCCUUCACCCAUCAAUUUCCUAGUAGUGGUAUCAGAGUUAAGUUGUAUUUUUUGGAGUCGGGCUAUUGUUCACGUAAAAGUAUUAUUCACAUAUAUGGUAUUGUUCACGUAUACGAUACUGUUAACGUAUAUGAUACUAUUCAUGUAUACGACUCUGUUCAUAUAUACAAUUACUGUUCACGUGAAACGGUGGGAGCCAAUCCUAGUAAAGUUAGUUUUUGGUGAAAAACAAUGGCAGCAAAAUACGAAAUUGAGAAGUUCAACGGAAAUAAUUUUUCGUUGUGAAAAAUAAAGAUAAAAGUUGUAUUGAGGAAAAAUAACUGCUUGACAGCAAUUGGAGAAAAGCCCACGGAGAUAACUGAUGACAAGUGGAACAAGAUAAACAGCAUCGCCAUUUCUGAUCUACACUUGGCACUUGCGGAUGGAGUAUUAUCUAGUGUGGCAGAGAAAAAGACAGCAAAGGAAAUAUGAGAUACUCUCACAAAAUUGUACGAGGCCAAUUCGCUGCACAACAAGAUCUUCUUAAAAAUAAGACUCUAUACUCUUCGAAUGACGGAAUUUACAUCAGUGAUUGACCACAUCAAUACCUUAAAGACUCUAUUUUCACAACUCAUAACGUUGGGUCAUAAUAUAGAGGAAAAUGUACGUACAGAGCUUCGAUUUCAAAGUCUACCAGAUUCGUAUGAUUAAGUCAUUAUCAGCCUUACAAACAACAAUUCAGCGGACAAUCUAGUUUUCGACGAUGUUGCCGCUUCCAUAUUAAAUGAAGAAAGCAGACGGAAAAAUAAAGAAGACAGACAAACAAGUUCAUAGUAAGCAAAAACACUAUCGGUAACAAGAGAGAGAUCAACAGAAAUUGGCCCUAGUGGGAGUCACAAUCAUGGUAGGUUAAAAUCAAGAAGUAAGAAGAAUGUCAAAUAGUACAAUUGUGGCAAGAAAGGGCACGUCAAGAAAGAGUGUUGGAGUAACCAAAAAAGAAAAGAAUGUAAAGAACAUGAGUCAUCAAAUGCUCAGGGGUGUGUAGCAAGUACCUCAGAUGAUAGUGAAAUUCUCUACAGUAAGGCAGCAACUGUUUCAAAAGGCAGAAAAUGGCUAUCUGACGUCUGGCUUAUAGACUCAGGAGCUACUUGACAUAUGACCUCUCAGAGAGAAUGGUUCCACACAUAUGAACCUAUCUUAGGAGGAUCUGUAUAUAUGAGAGAUGAUCAUGCCGUGGAGAUCGUUGGCAUUGGUACUAUCAAAAUAAAAUAUUUGAUGGUAUUCGCACAAUUAGGGAGGUACGACAUGUCAAAUGCUUGAGGAAUAAUCUAUUGUCUUUAGGAAAAAUGGAUAGUCAUGGGUAGAAAACUCAUGGGUAUAAUGAAAUUACGAAGAUUAUUAAAGGCACGCUUGUAUUUAUGAAGGCAGAAAAGAUCAAUGCUAAUAUAUUUAUGCUUAAAGGGGAAACAUUGUAGGAAGCUGAUGCGUGUGUUGCAUCAAAUGGAGAAGAGUCAAUGAUGAUAUGGCAUCUCAAAAUUGGCCACAUGUCGGAAUAAGGUUUGAAGAUUCUCUCUGAGCGAAAAUUGCUUCUAAGGCUCAAAUCAGUAAGCUUAUAAUUUUACGAGCAUUGUAUUACAAGUAAGCAACAUAGAUUAAUCUUCAGCAGAUCUAUUGCUAGAAGUAAAUGCAUUCUAUAUUUAGUUCACUCUGAUGUUUGUGAAUCACCAGACAUAUCCAUGAGAGGUGCAAAGUAUAUGAUGAAAUUCAUUGAUGAUUAUUUCAGGAGAUGUUGGGUGUAUCCAAUUAAGAAAAAGUCAGAUGUAUUUUUAGUGUUUAAAGAAUACAAAGCGUGGGUGGAACUUGAAUCUGGCAAAAGGAUUAAGUGCUUGAGGACAUAUAAUGGUGGCGAGUAUAUAGACGGCGAGUUUCAUACUUUCUGUAAGCAAGAAAAUAUUAAGAGACAGUUCAUGGUAGCAAACACUCCUCAACAAAAUGGAGUGGCAGAGCAGAUGAACAAGACUCUUACAGAACGAAUAAGAGCUAUGUUGAGGACUGCGGGUCUACCCAAUUUAUUAUGGGCAGAAGCAACCAAAACUGCCUGUUAUAUAGUAAAUCGGUCGCCAUCCACAACAAUUGGGCUGAAGAUAGCGAUGGAGAGGAGGAGCUCGGGCACAAACAAGAGAAAAUUUCUGUAUUUUGUGACAGUCAAAGUGCCUUUCACAUUGCAAGGAAUUCAACCUUUCAUUUUAGGACAAAGCACAUAGGAGUUCAAUAUCACUUUGUUCGAGAAAUAGUGGAAGACAGAAAUAUGAAUUUAUAGAAAAUCCAUACAAAGGAGAACUUAGCAGAUGUUAUGACCAAACAAAUCAAUAUUGACAAGUUUGUAUGGAGUAGAUCCUCUUGUGGCCUAGUAGAGACGUAAGCAGCAUAACAAUGGCGAAACAGAAAGGAUGGUGUGGAGAUUAAUUGAUCCUUAAUCAAAUCUCCAAGUGGGAGAAUGUCAAAGUCAUGGUUGGCACCACCCUUCUAGAUGGGCAGUGCCAAACCAUCAACAUUUUUAACACGGCCCGCCAUUUUUUAUGGUGCCGAACUACUUGAAGAAGAAAAAAGAGAAAAAAGAGAAAAAAAGAACAAAAGAAGAAAGAAGAAGCCGAAAGAUUUGAAAGGAAAAAUAAUAAAAUAUUAAUAAUAUUAUUUUAUUGGAAAAAAGGAGGGGAAAUGAAGCCUAUAAAUAGAAGGCUUCAAUUCCCCUCUCGGCAUCCCAUUCUUCAGUUUUUCAAUCUUUUGUGAGAGAGGAAAAAUUAAGAGUUUUAAUACUCUUGUGUAAUUAGUGAGUGAGAGAUUGGGUGUAUAGGGGUUUUGAGAAGUGAGCCAAAAUAUUACAAUACUUGUAAUUCUCAUAUCACUAGGGAAAUAUUUUUUUUCUGUAUUCGCUCGUGGACGUAGGUUAAAAGCUGAACCACGUAAUUUUAUGGUGUUCUCUUUUGUGCUUGUUCUUUAUUUUCUUCUAAUUUCAUUUUACCUGUGACCCUACUUCACCCAUCAAUUUCCUAACAAAUCCAGUAUCAUAUAAUUAUACAAACAAAUAUAGAAACUAAAAAAUAAAUAGAGACUACAUUUUGUGCUUACAUAAGGUGGUAUUUGCACUUGGAACAUUUACACUGAGCCAGCAAGCUUGCCCUUCAAAAACUAAAUCCUUGCUCAGAAUUAUACACAAAGCAUGCUUUGCAAAGUAGUUCUUGUCUUGCAACUAGGCUUACCAAUGUAGUUCCUGUUAAAUCAAUACUUAUCGCAGCCUAAGUAUCAUCAUUUUCAUUGGUUGGCUGCAAAGAACAGAAACAAAAAAUUCAAAUCAAAGGUAAAGCUAAACAAAUUGACUUUUAAAGUAAAGAAAAAAGACAGAGCCUUAAAAAAUUCCCAAGUAUCACCAUUUUCACCAAUGAUUUAUUACGUUAUGGGCAAUGAUAUUCGGCCGCCACGAGACCAUAACGAAGCCAGAAACACAUGCUUCUUCUACCGUUUCGAAGUUUUAAAUUUGAAAAUUAAAAAUACAUUUUGCCAUUGAAAAAUAUCAAAAUUAAAUCUAAAGAAUUUGAAAAUUCCAAAAUUCUUACCCGUCCCUCUCACUCGCUUAUUCUCUCUCUCUCUCUCUCUCACCUUCCCUCUCACUCACCCGAUCUGUCUCUCUCACUCACCCACUAGCAAGCUGUUUCUCUCAGGCUGUCACUCACCCACGAAACUUGUUGUCACGCCGCGCCCAUCGUUGACCAGCCAUCAUCGCUGUCACGCCAUGCCCAUCGCCGACCAGCCCAUCACCGACCACGUCGCCGACCAGCCUUACUUGAAGGUGUGCUUGACGAUUUUGGACCUUUUUCACCUACCUAGGUAAUUAAAUUUAGCAUGUUGAGGAAAGUUUUGAUUUAUUGUAUUUAUAUUUUAAAAUUAUUAGAAAUAAGAUAUUUGAAAUGUAGAUUUUGUUUGAAUUAUAUAUGAUUAAUACAAUUUAUUUUUCAUGGUAUAAAAAUGAAGGAUUUGGAAAAAAACUACAAAGUCGAAGAUUUUGAAGAAUUAGAUUAACAACAAUUUAAAUGGAAAUAAUGAAAAAACUGAUAAUGAUGUGGAUGUGAAACCAAAAAAGUAUGAUGUUGUUUGAUAAACACCAUUAUCUUCUUAUGAGCCAAAAAAGGAAGAAUUAGAUGACAACAAUUAAGGUGAGAUUAAACUACUUAAUUAUUCUACAAUUAAUUUAAUUUUAAUUUUAAUGUAUCUUUUUAUGGAUUUGCAGGAUUCAAAUGUACAAACACCAUUAUCUUCUGAGGUGGAUAUUGUAGUCCCAACGCAUGAGAGCAAUAAGGAUCCUGUAAGUUUUAUGUUCUUUGAUGUAAUACUAUUUAAUUAUUUUAAUUUUUAAUGGUCACUAAAUAAUGGUCAUUAUUUAAGAACCUGUGAUCGCAUACCAAUUACAAGGAUGUGAUAUUUAUCCAUGGUUUCCUUUUGAUUCUUACAUUGCAAGUUAUAAUCCAGUUUCUAUAUUUAUGCCUAGUUAAUUUUGCAUUUUCUGGAAUGUAAUAUGGUGUUCUUAUUUUGUACAAACUAGCAAUCCCCAUCACUCCCAUCUAUGUUGCCUUAUUCUUCAUCUUGGAUAUCGUAUAAAGGUUCUCAACAAAGGAGUUUUCAGUAAUCGCUACUUCAACAGAAUGAUAAUAACAAAGAAGUUUGAAGCAGACUUAACAGAUUGAUCAUUGACUUAUUCUUUUGUUGUGUUUUGUGUAUUAGUUGGUUGGAUGAUAUUACUCUAGUGCUCAAUGAUUGAACGUGGAAAUAUUUUGAAGGGUUUUUAUCCAUAUAUUCAAAGGGUUAAGUGUGUCAAUAAACCAUUACAACAAUAAGAGUAGUUCAUAUAGAAAUGUCAAAUUAACCACACACAAAAGAAAAAGGUACAAAUAACUUAUUUCUAGUAAUUUUAAAAUAUAAAUACAAAAAAAAACCAAAUACUUUUCUAAUCAAAGUAUCACAUACAAGGUUUCGUAAAGGCCGUGUCAAAAGAAUUUCUUUAACUGAUUAAAUAUACUAAUUUUAGGUGACAAUAAUCUAAUAAUUUUAAACUAAAUUAACUUAAUUUCGCGAAAAAAAAUUCAAAAAACGCAUAGAAUUACGGAUCAAGUCUAAUUAACAAUCAAACGUAGUAACUCAGAUGCAUUUAUGCCAAAAAGAAUGUUCAUAAGACUACACAAAACCACCCAAAAAAAUUAUAAAAUAAUAAAAGCAACAGCUGCGAUAGAUUUUGCCAGAACAAGAAACACAACAAAACAAAGAGAAUAAAUCAAUCAAGGGCAUAAAUAGAUUGAACAAAAAAGGGCAAGAUCAGAGAAGAAACUGACCCACGACACUGGAUCAUGCUAAGCCUAGCGUCAUGGUGGUGGUUUUGAUGAUGCGUUAGCUGAGAUCUGAGUAAAAUAUUGAUAGUGAGCUUGUGGGUGAGUGAGAGGGGAACGAGCUUCGUGGGUGAGAGUGAGAGCCGAGAGGGACAGAGCGGGUGAGAGAGAGGGGGUGAGUGAGGGGAGGGAUAAGAAUUUAGAUUUUUAAUUUGUUUUGAUUAGCUUUUAUUAGUUUUUAAUGGUAAAAUUUGUUUUUAAUUCUCAAAUCUAAAANNNNNNNNNNNNNNNNNNNNNNNNNNNNNNNNNNNNNNNNNNNNNNNNNNNNNNNNNNNNNNNNNNNNNNNNNNNNNNNNNNNNNNNNNNNNNNNNNNNNNNNNNNNNNNNNNNNNNNNNNNNNNNNNNNNNNNNNNNNNNNNNNNNNNNNNNNNNNNNNNNNNNNNNNNNNNNNNNNNNNNNNNNNNNNNNNNNNNNNNNNNNNNNNNNAUUGUCUCUACUUUGCUUAUUUUUCCAACACUCUUUCUUGACAUGCCCUUUCUUGCCGUAAUUGUAGCAUUUAACAUUCUUGUUACUUCUUGAUUUUGAUCUACUAUGAUUACGACCUCCACUGGGGCCACAUUUUGUUGAUCUAUUUCUAGUCAUCGAUAAUGCUUUUGCUUGCUGCGAACUUGCCUACCUACAUUCCUUGUUUUUUUUGUUUGCUUUCUUCAUUUAAUAUAGAGGUUACAACAUUGCCCAAGACUAGACUAUCUAUUUGGUUAUUGUUUGUUAGAUUAAUGAUGAGUUGAUCGUAUGAAUUUGAAAAGUGUAAAGAUUCCUUUUUAAGAAAAUCUUGUUUUGUAAAGACUUGUCCUCGUACAAUUUUGUAAGAGUAUCCCAUAUUUUCUUUGCUCUCUUUUUCUCUCCACACUAGAAAACACUUCAUUAGCCAGUGCUAAAUGUAGAUCCGUAGUUGCAUUAUUGUCUACCUCGUUCCACUUGGCAUCAUCAGUUAUCUCCAUGGACUUUUCUCUUAUUGUUACCAUGCAAUUUUUGUUUCCUCAAAAUAGCCUUCAUCUUUAUUUUCUACAACGACGAAUUAUUUUCGUUGAACUUCUCAAUUUCGUAUUUUGCCACCAUUGUUUUUUCACCACGAACUACAUUUGCUAAGAUUGGCUCCCAUCGUUUCACGUGAAUACUAACCAUAUAUGUGAACAAUACUAUAUAUGUGAAUAGUACUGUGACAACCAACUUGGCUCUAAUACCACUAUUAGGAAAUUAAUGGUGAAGCAGAGCCACAAUAAAAUGAAAUUAGAGAAAAAUAAAGAAUAAGCAUACAAAGAGGACGCUAGAAAUUACAUGAUUAAGCUUUUAACCUAUAUCUAUAGGCAAAGACAGAAGGAUAAAACUUGACUAGUGCAAAGAAGAUUAUAAGUAUUGUAAGAUUUUACCCUUACUUUCUAGAACCCAAUACACCCAAUCGUUUAAUCACUAAACUCUCAAGAGUUUACUAUUUGAGCUCUCAAAACUCUCAGCUUCUCGCUCUUGAUAGAAGAAGCGAUUUGAAGAAAAAAAAUGGAAUUUUUUUUUGAUGAAAUGGGCAUUAAUUUACAAUUUAUGGGGAACUCCCCUUUUAUAGCCAAAAUCAUCUAUUAUUUUAAUUUCUUCUUUUUUUUUGUCCUUCUCGUGGCUUCUUCAAUGUCGAAGCCAUAAACUGCCAUUUUCCUUCAAACUUUUUGGCACUGAUCAUUAUUUGUCAAAUUUAACAUUUGCGGCUUCUUCCUUUGCGGCACCGGCUUCUACAUUUGAUAGCCAAGCCAAGAAGCCGCAGACAGAAGAAGAAGUACUCGGUUACUAUCGAUGGUUGUUAAGCAGUCAAACAGCCAAGAUGAAAAAAACAUUUAGGCAAUCUAUGGUCUCAUUUUUUCCUUUCGCAAAAAAUCCAUGCACGAUCCCCUCUUCAAUUUCCAAUUUUAUUAUUCCCUUUUCAUUUUUAAUAUUUUUCCCUUUGCAAAUCCUCUUUAAAAUCGUUUGAUCAAGUAGCCUAUCACUCUUAAAAAUAACCAGUUCAAGUGGUUGACUACUUGUUACUACUUUUUGAUAAGUUUCAUGACAUGGAUUCAAAUUAAAACACAUUUGAUGCUCUCAGAUUCUCUACACUGUAAGUUACGUAAACAUAACUGAGGAAUUGCCUAAUAUAAAUUAUUAAAAAUAUAUUUUAUUAAAAAUAUCAUGUCUUUCCACACGUUUUAGAAGUUUUUGGGAUUGAUGCCAACUUAGAGUUAUCCAAGUCUUUUCUUUUUAAAUAAAUAAAUAAAUCAUUCUACAUUUUGGUUCAUACAGAGCACGAAUAUAGCCACAAUCAAAUUCGACAGUUAUGUUUCUCAUUUUGUAGAAAACUCUAUUGUAUAAAAUUCACUACUACAAAAUUAGUCUUUAAUGACGGUUUUAAAAGACAUAAGAUGACGGUUUUAGGCAGCGACAUUAAAAAGGGUACACCGUUUAUGACAGUUCAAAAACCGUCAUUAAAUGUAUACAUAUAAUGACGAUUAUUUUAUUAAAUAGUCAUUAUUUGAGAUAUAUUCUAGAGUUUUAAUGACGGUUUUUUCUUAAAAAUCGUCAUAAAAAAUACCAUUCAAUGAAGGUUCUUUAAAGAACGAUCAUCGAUAGCACUUUAGCAUAUAUUUUUAAUGACAGUUUUCUUCAAAACCGUCAUUAAAUGUCAAUUUUUAAUGACGGUUUUAUAUAAAACUGUCAUCUUGUAUAGGUCUUUGAUGACUGUUCUUAUAUAAGAACCGUCAUCUUUUGCAUGAGUAAAAAGAAAAAAAAUAGUAAUUUAAAAUUACCAUGCUUUAACUAUUUUUUUAGAUUAAAAUUUAUAUAGUUGUUUUCACAUUCUAAACCGUACAAUUGAAGCUGCAUUUGCAAAAUUUUAAUUUAUAUUACACAUUGAUAUAAUUAUCAUUUACAUACAAAGAACUCAAAUACAUACAAGCUUCAUUAUAACAGUUUAACGCCUAAAUAACCUUGAUCAAAGUAACUCCUAAUAAUGAAAAAAUAUGCUACACGAAUUCUCAAAUUAAAAUCUUGUCAAAGUCAUGGUUGGCACCACCCUUCUAGAUGGGCGGUGCCAAACCAUCAACAUUUUCAACAGGCUCGCCAUUUUUGGUGGUGCUGAAAUGCUUGAAGAAGAAAAAGGAGAAAAAAGAACAAAAGAAAAAAGAAGAAAGAAGAAGCUGAAAAAUUUGAAAGGAAAAAUAAUAAAAUAUUAAUAGUAUUAUUUUAUUAAAAAAAGGAAGGGAAAUGAAGCCUAUAAAUAGAAGGCUUCAAUUUCCCUCUCGGCAUCCCAUUCUUCAGUUUUUAAUCUUUUGUCAGAGAGGAAAAAUUAAGAGUCUUAAUACUCUUGUGUAAUUAGUGAGUGAGAGAUUUGGUGUAUUGAGGUUUUGGGAAGUGAGCCAAAAUAUUACAAUACUUGUAAUCUUCAUAUCACUAGUGAAAUAUUUUCCUUCUAUAUUCGCCCGUGGACGUAGGCUAAAAGCCGAACCACAUAAUUUUUUGGUGUCCUCUUUUGUGCUUGUUCUUUAUUUUCUUCCAAUUUCAUUUUAGCUGUGGUCUUCCUUCACCCAUCAAUUUCCUAGUAGUGGUAUCAGAGUUAAGUUGUAUUUUUUGGAGUCGGGCUAUUGUUCACGUAAAAGUAUUAUUCACAUAUAUGGUAUUGUUCACGUAUACGAUACUGUUAACGUAUAUGAUACUAUUCAUGUAUACGACUCUGUUCAUAUAUACAAUUACUGUUCACGUGAAACGGUGGGAGCCAAUCCUAGUAAAGUUAGUUUUUGGUGAAAAACAAUGGCAGCAAAAUACGAAAUUGAGAAGUUCAACGGAAAUAAUUUUUCGUUGUGAAAAAUAAAGAUAAAAGUUGUAUUGAGGAAAAAUAACUGCUUGACAGCAAUUGGAGAAAAGCCCACGGAGAUAACUGAUGACAAGUGGAACAAGAUAAACAGCAUCGCCAUUUCUGAUCUACACUUGGCACUUGCGGAUGGAGUAUUAUCUAGUGUGGCAGAGAAAAAGACAGCAAAGGAAAUAUGAGAUACUCUCACAAAAUUGUACGAGGCCAAUUCGCUGCACAACAAGAUCUUCUUAAAAAUAAGACUCUAUACUCUUCGAAUGACGGAAUUUACAUCAGUGAUUGACCACAUCAAUACCUUAAAGACUCUAUUUUCACAACUCAUAACGUUGGGUCAUAAUAUAGAGGAAAAUGUACGUACAGAGCUUCGAUUUCAAAGUCUACCAGAUUCGUAUGAUUAAGUCAUUAUCAGCCUUACAAACAACAAUUCAGCGGACAAUCUAGUUUUCGACGAUGUUGCCGCUUCCAUAUUAAAUGAAGAAAGCAGACGGAAAAAUAAAGAAGACAGACAAACAAGUUCAUAGUAAGCAAAAACACUAUCGGUAACAAGAGAGAGAUCAACAGAAAUUGGCCCUAGUGGGAGUCACAAUCAUGGUAGGUUAAAAUCAAGAAGUAAGAAGAAUGUCAAAUAGUACAAUUGUGGCAAGAAAGGGCACGUCAAGAAAGAGUGUUGGAGUAACCAAAAAAGAAAAGAAUGUAAAGAACAUGAGUCAUCAAAUGCUCAGGGGUGUGUAGCAAGUACCUCAGAUGAUAGUGAAAUUCUCUACAGUAAGGCAGCAACUGUUUCAAAAGGCAGAAAAUGGCUAUCUGACGUCUGGCUUAUAGACUCAGGAGCUACUUGACAUAUGACCUCUCAGAGAGAAUGGUUCCACACAUAUGAACCUAUCUUAGGAGGAUCUGUAUAUAUGAGAGAUGAUCAUGCCGUGGAGAUCGUUGGCAUUGGUACUAUCAAAAUAAAAUAUUUGAUGGUAUUCGCACAAUUAGGGAGGUACGACAUGUCAAAUGCUUGAGGAAUAAUCUAUUGUCUUUAGGAAAAAUGGAUAGUCAUGGGUAGAAAACUCAUGGGUAUAAUGAAAUUACGAAGAUUAUUAAAGGCACGCUUGUAUUUAUGAAGGCAGAAAAGAUCAAUGCUAAUAUAUUUAUGCUUAAAGGGGAAACAUUGUAGGAAGCUGAUGCGUGUGUUGCAUCAAAUGGAGAAGAGUCAAUGAUGAUAUGGCAUCUCAAAAUUGGCCACAUGUCGGAAUAAGGUUUGAAGAUUCUCUCUGAGCGAAAAUUGCUUCUAAGGCUCAAAUCAGUAAGCUUAUAAUUUUACGAGCAUUGUAUUACAAGUAAGCAACAUAGAUUAAUCUUCAGCAGAUCUAUUGCUAGAAGUAAAUGCAUUCUAUAUUUAGUUCACUCUGAUGUUUGUGAAUCACCAGACAUAUCCAUGAGAGGUGCAAAGUAUAUGAUGAAAUUCAUUGAUGAUUAUUUCAGGAGAUGUUGGGUGUAUCCAAUUAAGAAAAAGUCAGAUGUAUUUUUAGUGUUUAAAGAAUACAAAGCGUGGGUGGAACUUGAAUCUGGCAAAAGGAUUAAGUGCUUGAGGACAUAUAAUGGUGGCGAGUAUAUAGACGGCGAGUUUCAUACUUUCUGUAAGCAAGAAAAUAUUAAGAGACAGUUCAUGGUAGCAAACACUCCUCAACAAAAUGGAGUGGCAGAGCAGAUGAACAAGACUCUUACAGAACGAAUAAGAGCUAUGUUGAGGACUGCGGGUCUACCCAAUUUAUUAUGGGCAGAAGCAACCAAAACUGCCUGUUAUAUAGUAAAUCGGUCGCCAUCCACAACAAUUGGGCUGAAGAUAGCGAUGGAGAGGAGGAGCUCGGGCACAAACAAGAGAAAAUUUCUGUAUUUUGUGACAGUCAAAGUGCCUUUCACAUUGCAAGGAAUUCAACCUUUCAUUUUAGGACAAAGCACAUAGGAGUUCAAUAUCACUUUGUUCGAGAAAUAGUGGAAGACAGAAAUAUGAAUUUAUAGAAAAUCCAUACAAAGGAGAACUUAGCAGAUGUUAUGACCAAACAAAUCAAUAUUGACAAGUUUGUAUGGAGUAGAUCCUCUUGUGGCCUAGUAGAGACGUAAGCAGCAUAACAAUGGCGAAACAGAAAGGAUGGUGUGGAGAUUAAUUGAUCCUUAAUCAAAUCUCCAAGUGGGAGAAUGUCAAAGUCAUGGUUGGCACCACCCUUCUAGAUGGGCAGUGCCAAACCAUCAACAUUUUUAACACGGCCCGCCAUUUUUUAUGGUGCCGAACUACUUGAAGAAGAAAAAAGAGAAAAAAGAGAAAAAAAGAACAAAAGAAGAAAGAAGAAGCCGAAAGAUUUGAAAGGAAAAAUAAUAAAAUAUUAAUAAUAUUAUUUUAUUGGAAAAAAGGAGGGGAAAUGAAGCCUAUAAAUAGAAGGCUUCAAUUCCCCUCUCGGCAUCCCAUUCUUCAGUUUUUCAAUCUUUUGUGAGAGAGGAAAAAUUAAGAGUUUUAAUACUCUUGUGUAAUUAGUGAGUGAGAGAUUGGGUGUAUAGGGGUUUUGAGAAGUGAGCCAAAAUAUUACAAUACUUGUAAUUCUCAUAUCACUAGGGAAAUAUUUUUUUUCUGUAUUCGCUCGUGGACGUAGGUUAAAAGCUGAACCACGUAAUUUUAUGGUGUUCUCUUUUGUGCUUGUUCUUUAUUUUCUUCUAAUUUCAUUUUACCUGUGACCCUACUUCACCCAUCAAUUUCCUAACAAAUCCAGUAUCAUAUAAUUAUACAAACAAAUAUAGAAACUAAAAAAUAAAUAGAGACUACAUUUUGUGCUUACAUAAGGUGGUAUUUGCACUUGGAACAUUUACACUGAGCCAGCAAGCUUGCCCUUCAAAAACUAAAUCCUUGCUCAGAAUUAUACACAAAGCAUGCUUUGCAAAGUAGUUCUUGUCUUGCAACUAGGCUUACCAAUGUAGUUCCUGUUAAAUCAAUACUUAUCGCAGCCUAAGUAUCAUCAUUUUCAUUGGUUGGCUGCAAAGAACAGAAACAAAAAAUUCAAAUCAAAGGUAAAGCUAAACAAAUUGACUUUUAAAGUAAAGAAAAAAGACAGAGCCUUAAAAAAUUCCCAAGUAUCACCAUUUUCACCAAUGAUUUAUUACGUUAUGGGCAAUGAUAUUCGGCCGCCACGAGACCAUAACGAAGCCAGAAACACAUGCUUCUUCUACCGUUUCGAAGUUUUAAAUUUGAAAAUUAAAAAUACAUUUUGCCAUUGAAAAAUAUCAAAAUUAAAUCUAAAGAAUUUGAAAAUUCCAAAAUUCUUACCCGUCCCUCUCACUCGCUUAUUCUCUCUCUCUCUCUCUCUCACCUUCCCUCUCACUCACCCGAUCUGUCUCUCUCACUCACCCACUAGCAAGCUGUUUCUCUCAGGCUGUCACUCACCCACGAAACUUGUUGUCACGCCGCGCCCAUCGUUGACCAGCCAUCAUCGCUGUCACGCCAUGCCCAUCGCCGACCAGCCCAUCACCGACCACGUCGCCGACCAGCCUUACUUGAAGGUGUGCUUGACGAUUUUGGACCUUUUUCACCUACCUAGGUAAUUAAAUUUAGCAUGUUGAGGAAAGUUUUGAUUUAUUGUAUUUAUAUUUUAAAAUUAUUAGAAAUAAGAUAUUUGAAAUGUAGAUUUUGUUUGAAUUAUAUAUGAUUAAUACAAUUUAUUUUUCAUGGUAUAAAAAUGAAGGAUUUGAAAAAAAAAACUAAAGUCGAAGAUUUUGAAGAAUUAGAUGAACAACAAUUUAGAUGGAAAUAAUGAAAAAAACUGAUAAUGAUGUGGAUGUGAAACCAAAAAAGUAUGAUGUUGUUUGAUAAACACCAUUAUCUUCUUAUGAGCCAAAAAAGGAAGAAUUAGAUGACAACAAUUAAGGUGAGAUUAAACUACUUAAUUAUUCUACAAUUAAUUUAAUUUUAAUUUUAAUGUAUCUUUUUAUGGAUUUGCAGGAUUCAAAUGUACAUUAAAUGUACAAACACCAUUAUCUUCUGAGGUGGAUAUUGUAGUCCCAACGCAGGAGAGCAAUAAGGAUCCAGUAAAUUUAAUGUUCUUUGAUGUAAUAUUAUUUAAUUUUUUUUUAAUUUUUAAUGGUCACUAAAUAAUGGUCAUUAUUUAAGAACAUGUGAUCGCAUACCAAUUACAAGGAUGUGAUAUUUAUCCAUCGUUUCCUUUUGACUCUUACAUUGUAAGUUAUAAUCCAGUUUCUAUAUUUAUGCUUAAUUAAUUUUGCAUUUUCUGGAAUGUAAUAUGGUUCUUAUUUUGUACAAACUUGCAAUCCCAUCUAUGUCCUUAUUCUUCAUCUUGGAUAUCGUAUAAAGGUUCUCAAUAAGGGAGUUUUCAGCAAUUGCUACUUCAACAAAAUGAUAAUGGCAGAGAAGUUUGGAGCAGACUUAACAGAUUGAUCAUUGACUUAUUCUUUUGUUGUAUAAUUUUAGUUGUGUUUUGUGUAUUAGUUGGUUGGAUGAUAUUACUCUAAUGCUCAAUGAUUGAACAUGGAAAUAUUUUGAAGGUUUUUUAUCCAUAUAUUCAAAGGUUGAGCUUGUCAAUAACCAUUACAACAAUAAGAGUAGUUCAUAUAGAAAUGCCAAAUUAAAAAAAAAAGAUACAAUUAUUCACUUAAACAAAUGUUUCUAUGUCAACCUUCCUAGCUUCAAGCCUAACUGAACCAGGCAAUUGGUUGUUCAUUUUCCUCUCACAAUUGUAAGCAUUGUAUGCUGAUUCGGCAUCCAACAAUGAUCUGUAAGAUUGGAAUGAAUCAAAUACAUAUUAGCAGCAUAAAGAGAAAAAGAAAAGGAUGGAUUUUAGAGCAUAAAGAGAAAAAGAAAAGGAUGGAUUGAUUGGAAUGAAUAAAAUACAUAUUAGCAACAUAAAGAGAAAAAGAAAAGGAUGGAUUCUAUUUUUCUAGAAUAAAAAUCAAAUGCAAGUCACGUUUGGUUUGAUUUUAGAGGAGGGUUAAUGAAGCAAUAUAUGCUUUAUAGAAAAUAAAGAACCUUAGAAUGAAGCUGCAAUUACUGGAUUAGCAGAAGAAAAUUAGGGAAUUCUAUGUGGUAAAGAACUUAACAAUGCAGCUAAGACCAAAAACAAUUGCCUCAACUAAAGAAUUCACAGAAACGUGUGAUAUAUCAAACUACCCAGAAUAUGUUUGAAGAACAACUUGAAAAUCUUAAUACACACCAUAAAGCAAAAACAUAAUUACAACCAAACCAUAAGCUUUAACAUUUCACAAAGUAUCACACUUCAAAUAACUUCUUUCUAGUAAUUUUAAAUAUAAAUACGAAAAAAAAAAACCCAAAUACUUUUAUAAGCAAAGUAUCACAUACAAGGUUUCGUAAAGGCCGUGUCAAAAGAAUUUCCUUAACUGAUUAAAUAUACUAAUUUUAGGUGACAAUAAUCUAAUAAUAUUAAACUAAAUUAACUUAAUUUCGCAAAAAAAAAAUCAAAAAACGCAUAGAAUUACGGAUCAAGUCUAAUUAACAAUCAAACGUAGUAACCCAGAUGCAUUUAUGCCAAAAAGAAUGUUCAUAAGACUACACAAAACCACCCAAAAAAAAUUAUAAAAUAAUAAAAGCAAUAGCUGCGAUAGAUUUUGCCAGAACAAGAAACACAACAAAACAAAGAGAAUAAAUCAAUCAAGGGCAUAAAUAGAUUGAAUUAUAAAAUAAUAAAAGCAACAGCUGCGAUAGAUUUUGCCAGAACAAGAAACACAACAAAACAAAGAGAAUAAAUCAAUCAAGGGCAUAAAUAGAUUGAACAAAUAUUCUCUUUCUCAUGGUUGAUAUUUUAGAGACUUUUCUUUACCAUCUUACUUCUAAUAUGAAAUACUCCACGUACCAGCUCAAUUAUCAAGUGUACCUAGUGUAAAUCUGAGUAAAAUAUUGACAGUGAGCUUGUGGGUGAGUGAGAGGGGAACGAGCUUCGUGGCUGAGAGUGAGAGCCGAGAGGGACAGAGCGGGUGAGAGAGAGGGGGUGAGUGAGGGGAGGGAUAAGAAUUUAGAUUUUUUAAUUUGUUUUGAUUAGCUUUUAUUAUUUUUUAAUGGUAAAAUUUGUUUUUAAUUCUCAAAUCUAAAACUUCAAAACGGCAUAUAAGCAUGUCGUUUCUGGCUUCCCUCUGUAACGAGGGUGGCCGAAUAUCAUUUUCCAUAAAUCAUUUCUACGCAAGAGACACGAUGAGGGACCCACAAACGCGACAGAAUUGGAUAUCCCGAUUUUUUAAAAUGAGGAAUAUAAUAAAUCGCCUUCCAAGAGGCUUCAUCAAGAAUCAAGAUAUAUAGUAGUUAAGCACAGCCUCUCUCUCUCCCUCUCUUUGUCUGUUUCCUCUCUGUUCUAUUCAAUGAAAAUGGAGACUGCACUUUAGACUGUGCCUUUCUCCAUUGCUUUCUCUACAGCUAUUCUAGCCGUAGCAUGUGCCUGGUGGAUGCUACUGAAUUGGGUAUGGCUAAAACCAAAGCAGCUAGAAAAGUUCCUCAGAGAGCAAGGAUUCUCCGGUAACCCCUACAAAGUAUUUCAUGGAGACAUGAAAGAGCUUGCCCAGACCACUAAAGAAGCUGAAAGCAGACCCAUCAGCCUCUCCGACGAUAUCGCCCGGCGAAUUCUGCCUUUCCACUAUCAUAUCAUCACCAAUUUUGGUAAGCCUUCCUACUAAUUUAUCUCACUCAACUUUACUUGGUAAUAAUUUUAUUUUGCUUAUAUAUAAAUAAAAUUAAAUAAGAUUCAAGUUUUUCUAAUUUUAAAGGGAAAAGGAGAAUGUCACAUAAGUUCUUAAUAUUUCUUAUUUUUAUCACUUUGCUAUUUGAUUUUUUAAUUUUUUUUAUUACACCCUUAAUGUUAAAAUCGUAAUUAAAAAAAAAAGUUUUUUUUUACCGUUUUACAGUUAUUAUCUUAAUUUCACUCUAUCGGUAUAAUAUGAAUUUUUUUUUUUUUUUUUUUUAAUGUCAAAAGUCAUGUUACUCUUCAACAAUAAAAUUCAAACAUUAAAAUCAUAGUUAUGUAAAGAAAGUAAGAGUGAUUAAAAAAUGAAGAAUAGUAAGGACCAAUGUGUCAUUCUUCCACAAGGGAGAAGGGACCAAAAAGAAAAAAUGGGAUGGUUUUUGGAAACUUUCAACCAAGUGUCUGUUUCUGAAGAUUUCUUUUGUCUUUUAUAAUUAAGAGGCUUCAUCAAGAAUCAAGAUAUAUAGUAGUUAAGCACAGCCUCUCUCUCUCCCUCUCUUUGUCUGUUUCCUCUCUGUUCUAUUCAAUGAAAAUGGAGACUGCACUUUAGACUGUGCCUUUCUCCAUUGCUUUCUCUACAGCUAUUCUAGCCGUAGCAUGUGCCUGGUGGAUGCUACUGAAUUGGGUAUGGCUAAAACCAAAGCAGCUAGAAAAGUUCCUCAGAGAGCAAGGAUUCUCCGGUAACCCCUACAAAGUAUUUCAUGGAGACAUGAAAGAGCUUGCCCAGACCACUAAAGAAGCUGAAAGCAGACCCAUCAGCCUCUCCGACGAUAUCGCCCGGCGAAUUCUGCCUUUCCACUAUCAUAUCAUCACCAAUUUUGGUAAGCCUUCCUACUAAUUUAUCUCACUCAACUUUACUUGGUAAUAAUUUUAUUUUGCUUAUAUAUAAAUAAAAUUAAAUAAGAUUCAAGUUUUUCUAAUUUUAAAGGGAAAAGGAGAAUGUCACAUAAGUUCUUAAUAUUUCUUAUUUUUAUCACUUUGGUAUUUGAUUUUUUAAUUUUUUUUAUUACACCCUUAAUGUUAAAAUCGUAAUAAAAAAAGUUAUUUUUUUACCGUUUUACAGUUAUUACCUUAAUUUCACUCUAUCGGUAUAGUAUGAUUUUUUUUUUAAAUGUCAAAAGUCAUGUUACUCUUCAACUAUAAAAUUCAAACAUUAAAAUCAUAGUUAUGUCAUGAAAGUAAGAGUGAUUAAAAAAUGAAGAAUAGUAAGGACCAAUGUGUCAUUCUUCCACAAGGGAGAAGGGACCAAAUAGAAAAAAAAGGGGAUGGUUUUUGGAAACUUUCAACAAAGUGUCUGUUUCUGAAGAUUUCUUUUGUCUUUUAUAAUUAAGACAAUGUAAUUUUUUUUAAAAAAAUUAUAUAUCAAAAGCGGAUUGAUAUAGAAUUUUUUUAAUAAUCAAUAUAUCUUUAAUUUUUCCAUUUUGUGAUAUAUAUUUUUUAAAUAUUUUUAUAUUGGUCUUAGUUGACCGAGAGUUAUUUAUACCAACCAUGAGAAUUAAUAUAGUAGAACCUUGAAAUAUAAAUACUCCAUAAAGGAAUAAUUUUUUCAUAAUAAUAAAAAAUUAUGAUCCCAACUUAGAACCAGUUAUAAUUAAAAAUAAACUCUACAUUGUAAUAAAUUAUAUUUUUUAUAGGUUUUGUCUUAAUAAAUUUACCUCUACAUAGUAAUAAUAUUUUAAACAUAUAUUAUGUUACAUUAAAUAAUUAAAAUGGAAUAAAAUAUCUUUCUAAAAUUACUUGUGAUAAUGAUUUGUUCUUUAAAGUUGUAACUAUAUCUUUCAACUUGUGGGUAUGUAUUAAUUGGUCAGCAUAAACGCUUAAUAAUUGGUUAACAAAAUAAUUAAUUUAUUAAUAUCUAUACAUUGAAUUUGACUCACUUAUUAAUUUAUUAAUACAUGACAUAAUUUAUCUCUAUAUCACUUGUAUUAAGAAUAAUUAAGUAAAGACAAUAAUUUUUGUACUAUACUUCUAUUGACUUAUAAAUUCUUUAUAAGAAUAAAUUUUUCUAAUCCCAACAAUAUGACUAUAUAAUUGAUAAUGAAUAUUAGGACUCCUUCUCUUCUUUUGACUAUUAUUACUAUUUUUUUAAGUUAUAGUUAGAAUAAAUAUAUUUUUCUGUCUCUCCAUCCAUAUUGAUGACAAAAAAAUUUGAGAUUGUAUUUAAAUAGCAUUAGUCUAGGUGAAUGUAGAAUUUUAAUUAUAAAUAAAUUAAUAAAUUUAAAUAUGUUAAAAAAAUAAGACAAAAUAAGAUAACGAUACUGAUACGCUGACGCAGACAUAUGAAUGACGUCUGUGCUUAUGCGAGGAAGCCACGAAAAAUAAUAAAAUACGAGAAGGCUGUCCAAUUUUCUAGCUUUUUGACGCAGACAUAUAAUAAAAUAAUAAAAAUAUUCAUCUCGGAAGAAUGGUAAUGCGUACUUAAGAAAAAAAAUUGAAAAAACUAAAGGGUCCUUUUUUUUUUUUUUUUUUUAAUUAUAACAAGAUGAAGAUGCCAUAAAAUAAAAUAAAUUUUGCCUUUUUUUUUUCUAAGAAUAAUAAAAACAAAAAAACAUGAUAAGUUGAAACAUUCUAAUCCGUAACCCUUAUUGCUAAAAUUACAGGUAAGAAUUCUUUCAUAUGGAUGGGUCCAAGACCAAACAUACACAUCACAGACCCUAAAAUGAUAAGGGAAAUUUUUUUGAAGUAUGAUAUCUUUCAAAAAGCGAGAAGCCCACUUGUGAAGUUGCUGGUCACUGGGAUGGCAGACUAUGCUGGUGAACAGUGGUUUAAAGUCAGAAAAAUUGCCACUCCAGCUUUCCAUCAUGAUAAGUUGAAGGUUCGUUUUCACCUUUAUAGUUCGUUUAAUCACACACACACACCAUUUUCAAUAUGCCUGUUCAUAUUGUUACCUGACCUAUAACAUUGUUUGACAAUUUCUUCCAUUUUUUUUCAUAAGAAUAUGUUACCUACAAUUCAUAAGAGCUGUAACGACAUGCUGAGGAAAUGGGAGAUUUCGGUUUCAAAGGAUGAGUCCUGUGAGUUAGAUGUGUGGCCUCAUAUUCAAACUUUGACCGCAGAUGUGAUUUCUCGAACAGCAUUUGGCAGUAGCUUUGAAGAAGGAAGAAAAAUAUUUGCAGUGCUAAGGAAACAAAUUAAUCUUCUAAUUCAAGCUUCAUUUUUUGCUUAUAUUCCAGGAUGGAGGUAAUUUUAAUUAUUAAUUCAACUUAAAUUAUUCCUCGUAGUACUCUUGGUGACCUGAGCUGUGUUAAUUUUUUAAAGAUAUUAUAUCAGGUGUGUAUUUAUAAAACAACAUAAGAUUAGAAUUGGUCUUCUAAAUAAAGAAUCCUUAUUAUUAUAGUGUAGAAAAGUGUUGUCAAAUGUUUUAGCAUAUAAAUAAUUUCCGCGUGCCUUGCACUUAAUUAUGAGAAUUGUUUAUUGGUAGGUUUGUGCCUAAUAGACUGAAUAGAAAAUUGAAAAGCAACCACAAUGAAAUGGGAGAACUGGUAAAGGGUAUCAUUAAGAAAAGAGAGGAAGCUCUGAAAGUUGGAAAAGCCAGCAAUAAUGAUGACUUAUUGGGUAUAUUGAUGGAAUCAAAUCACAAAGAGAUUCAGGAGAAGGAAACUGGAAUGAGUAUUGAAGAGGUGAUUGAAGAGUGCAAGCUGUUCUAUCUAGCUGGGCAGGAAACUACUGCAUCAUUGCUUGUGUGGACAAUGGUUUUGUUAUGCAUACAUCCUGAAUGGCAAGAACGAGCAAGGGAAGAGGUUUGUCAAGUUUUUGGAAAUAGAGAACCAAAAUUUGAAGAGCUGAACCAGUUGAAAGUAGUAAGUGAUCUUACUCUUACUUAAAUAUCUAUAGCUUUUCUAAUUUGUCGAAAAUUUUGGGAAGACUCAAUUUCUUGUUAAUUUUCAGGUGUCAAAGUCUGGAUUUACAAAAUAUAAAUUUGAACUACCAUUAGGACUCUAGGCUGGGGUAGAAUUAUUUUUAUUCUAAUCAUAGAUCAAAUUUGGAAUUUGGAAUAUCCAAACAUCCGCACUUGAAUUUCUUAACCUGACCAGUGUUUGUCAAUAUUUUACUAUCAAAGAUAGAGGAAGCCACAUAAAUUAGGGAAAAUCUUGGGAGGUGCCAACAGAACUGUGUCAUCGUCCCACAACAUCAGAAUUAUAUUCUGUGAUUUUCACAAUUAAUUAUCCUUAAUAAAUUUGUUAUCAGUCACCAAGAACAAAGAAUUUCCUUGUUUGAAAAAAUAAUUCCAGUGUAUGGUGCAGGUAAGAAAAUUGAGUUCUAUACAAGGUACUUAGAUUGUGCAGUAGUUAUGGCCAUGGGGGUUGGUUACUGGAAAUGAUAAAACCUACAAAAAUGUCGAGGGUUCAAAUCCCUUCUUAUACAGGGAAUGGGAAGGGAUUUGUUAUAUAUGUAUGUAAUAUUUUAAAAAAUCAAAGUUUAAAAUUAACUAGUAGUGAUAGCUUAUUUUGCAAACCAAAAGA
RNAcentral lists this long non-coding RNA (27027 nucleotides) under Citrus sinensis (sweet orange). RNAcentral describes it as "long non-coding RNA (CSIN_LNC005376)". The record is from RNAcentral. Lineage: Eukaryota; Viridiplantae; Streptophyta; Magnoliopsida; Sapindales; Rutaceae.